Molecule: long non-coding RNA, 1091 nt
Filed under: Homo sapiens (human)
Lineage: Eukaryota; Metazoa; Chordata; Mammalia; Primates; Hominidae
Description: non-protein coding lnc-SPINK8-1:2
Source: RNAcentral
UCCAGCGUGGCGCCUGGUGGCCGGGCCCUGUGCCGGAGGACAAGGAGUGAGAUGGCCUCAAUCUUGCGAAGCCCUCAGGCUCUCCAGCUCACUCUAGCCCUGAUCAAGCCUGACGCAGUCGCCCAUCCACUGAUUCUGGAGGUAAGAAUGAAUCCUAAGUCUCUACCGCAUGCCCUGGGAAUUGCUACUGCUUCAGGUGCCAUUGGGCCAUUUAUGGUGACUGACAACACAGACUUGUGCUGGAUGCUGUGGAGGCAAAGCUAGAAGCCAUGAACUCUGACCUAAGGAGACUAAGAAUCCAUUGGAGACUUGAGGCAGACCUAAAAUGUAAGAAAGGACCCAAAGCAAUAAUAGAACCGAAUAUCAAGACAAUGUGUAUUUGUUAGUUUCUAUUGCUACAUAACACAUUACUCCAGACUUGAGAGCUUAAAACAACACUUAUUUGUUAUUUCACAGUUCAGUAGUUUAGAGGUCCAGUAGGCUUGGCUGAGUUGUUUGCUUAAGGUCUCACAAGGCCAAAGUCAAGGUAUUGGCUGACCAGGUCCUUAUCUGGAGGGUCUGGGGGAAGAAUUCACUUCCAGACUCAUUCAGGUUGUUGGCAGAGUUGAUUUCUUAUGAUGGUAGGACUGAGGCUGCCAUUUCCCUGUUGGCCUUCAGGCAGGAACUCCUUUCAGUUUCUAGAUACCACUCACAUCCCUCAUCACAUGGCCCAGUCUGUCUUCAAGACAGCUGCAGUGCAUUGAAUCCUUCUCAUGCUUUGAAUCUCUCUGACUUCUUCAGCCUCUAGCCAGAGAAAAUGCCUGGCAUUGAGAAGCCUUCACAAUUCUAAUCCCACAGGGCUCAUGUGAUUAAUUAGGCCCACCUGGAUAAUCUCCCUUUUGAUUACAGCAGAAUCAACUGAUUAGUAACCUUAAUUUCCCUCAAAAUCCCUGUUGUUAUGUAAUGUAACAUAAUCAUAUUGCAUCAUAUUCACAGUCCUGGAGAUUAGGGUGGGAAAUCUUGGUGGGGCUCGGGGUCAUUUUCACAUUCUGUGUACCAUAGUUUGAUAAAUACUAACUGAGUAGCACUGCUAAGUAAGCCCACUAUGGUGC